This 758-nucleotide long non-coding RNA is filed under the name Capra hircus (goat). RNAcentral describes it as "lncRNA (ENSCHIG00000004379.1)". The record is from RNAcentral. Lineage: Eukaryota; Metazoa; Chordata; Mammalia; Artiodactyla; Bovidae.
CCAGUAGAUUCCAAGUCGAAGAAGCCAUCCUGGAGGUGCAUGAAGAGACACCCUCAUUUGGAAACAGGCUUCUGCACAACUGACUUGUUGCACAGACUCUUACGACACACGUACUACGUGCAGAUGCUGGGGAAGCGAAGGCACAGGACAGAAAGCAUCUAGAGGUUUCCUGACGGCUGCAACUCCUGCAAAUGAAGGCUAAUGGAGUUAACAAAGAACAACUGUGAGUCAGAUACCAACAGGACGAGGAGAAACGGCAGGAUUGGAAGGGGAGAGCCCGGUGAUGGUUCUGGAAACCAGCAUUGCUUCAGGGCUGGUGCAACUAGAACUGCCUCCUCGAAGAGGAAGCAGAGGGAGGAGAGGCUAGGGAACUGCUUGGGGUACUGCAGAACCCACCUCUCCAGGCUUCCUGCCCAGUUCCCUCUCCUCUGCAUACAGUGGAGUUGGUCUGGUCCCAGGAAGCCCUUUGGAGCCACUGAGAGUUUAGAGUGAGGGCAGGGCAAGGCAUGGGCUGCUUCUGAAAGCUUAUCCCACAACUUCCACUGGCGGUAGUCAUCCCAGCAAAGCACUGGCUCACAGUCCUCUCAGCCAAAGUCCAUGUGUAGAGUUUCCAGUUCCCAGAAGUUUCCAAAGCAGAGGAUGUAAUUACAAUGUUUUAAAGCAAAUAAACACACACCCGAGUGGGAGGACUGCAUAUUUAUUUGACUAAUUAGAGGGAAAUCACUAAAAGGAUGUACAAUAACAUCGGCUUCUUUGGG